RNAcentral lists this ribosomal RNA (253 nucleotides) under uncultured bacterium. Its description in RNAcentral is "partial 16S ribosomal RNA". It matches the Rfam family "Bacterial small subunit ribosomal RNA", at positions 524 to 776 of the family's 1533-position model. The record is from RNAcentral.
UACGUAGGGUGCGAGCGUUGUCCGGAAUUAUUGGGCGUAAAGAGCUCGUAGGCGGUGUGUCACGUCGGCCGUGAAAACCUGCAGCUUAACUGUGGCUUGCGGUCGAUACGGGCAUCACUGGAGUUCGGCAGGGGAGACUGGAAUUCCUGGUGUAGCGGUGAAAUGCGCAGAUAUCAGGAGGAACACCGGUGGCGAAGGCGGGUCUCUGGGCCGAUAUUGACGCUGAGGAGCGAAAGCGUGGGGAGCAAACAGG